AGCACAAGCCAGGAAUGGAAAGACUGGUGCAAGCGUAGGAGGUGAAUGGUUGGCAAAUCCGCCAUUCAAGCCAAAGACGUGAUGCGUAGCGAAAUAAAAGUAGUGAAGUGUGUGAGCCGGCUGCCAAGAAAAGCCGCUAUUGUUUCAUAUGAGCCCGUACCGUAAACCGACACAGGUGGAUGAGGAGAGAAUCCUAAGGCCGACGGAAGAAGCAUUGUUAAGGAAUUCGGCAAAAUGACCCCGUAACUUCGGGAGAAGGGGUGCCUCGCAAGAGGCCGCAGAGAAUAGGCUCAAGCAACUGUUUAGCAAAAACACAGGUCUAUGCGAAACCGUAAGGUGAAGUAUAUGGGCUGACGCCUGCCCGGUGCUGGAAGGUUAAGAGGAGAGGUUAGCUUCGGCGAAGCUUUGAAUUGAAGCCCCAGUAAACGGCGGCCGUAACUAUAACGGUCCUAAGGUAGCGAAAUUCCUUGUCGGGUAAGUUCCGACCCGCACGAAAGGCGUAAUGAUUUGAGCACUGUCUCGACAAUGCAUCCGGUGAAAUUGAAGUACCAGUGAAGAUGCUGGUUACCCGCGCCAGGACGGAAAGACCCCAUGGAGCUUUACUCCAGUUUAGUACUGGGAUUCGGUACUGCAUGUACAGGAUAGGUGGGAGACUAAGAAGCAAGGACGCCAGUCUUUGUGGAGUCAAUGUUGGGAUACCACCCUUGUAGUAUUGGGUUUCUAACCAGUCACCGUGAUCCGGUGAUGGGACAAUGCUAGGCGGGGAGUUUGACUGGGGCGGUCGCCUCCGAAAGGGUAUCGGAGGCGCUCAAAGGUUCCCUCAGAAUGGUUGGAAACCAUUUGAAGAGUGCAAAGGCAGAAGGGAGCUUGACUGUGACACCGACGGGUGGAGCAGGUACGAAAGUAGGACUUAGUGAUCCGGUGGUAUAACGUGGGAUUGCCAUCGCUCAACGGAUAAAAGCUACCCUGGGGAUAACAGGCUUAUCACUCCCAAGAGUUCACAUCGACGGAGUGGUUUGGCACCUCGAUGUCGGCUCAUCGCAUCCUGGGGCUGUAGCAGGUCCCAAGGGUUGGGCUGUUCGCCCAUUAAAGCGGUACGCGAGCUGGGUUCAGAACGUCGUGAGACAGUUCGGUCCCUAUCCGGCGCGGGCGGAGGAUAUUUGAGAGGAGCUGCCCCUAGUACGAGAGGACCGGGGUGGACGGACCACUGGUGUAUCAGCUGUCUACCAAAGGCAUAGCUGGGUAGCCAAGUCUGGACUGGAUAAACGCUGAAGGCAUCUAAGCGUGAAGCCAACCUCAAGAUGAGAUAUCCCCUCCUUU
This 1320-nucleotide ribosomal RNA is filed under the name Lachnospiraceae bacterium XBD2001. RNAcentral describes it as "bacterial LSU rRNA". It matches the Rfam family "Bacterial large subunit ribosomal RNA", at positions 1484 to 2822 of the family's 2925-position model. Lineage: Bacteria; Bacillati; Bacillota; Clostridia; Lachnospirales; Lachnospiraceae. The record is from RNAcentral.